UACGUAGGGGGCUAGCGUUGUCCGGAAUCAUUGGGCGUAAGCGCGUGUAGGCGGUCCGGUAAGUCCGCUGUGAAAGUCGGGGGCUCAACCCUCGAAUGCCGGUGGAUACUGUCGGGCUAGAGUGCGGAAGAGGCGAGUGGAAUUCCUGGUGUAGCGGUGAAAUGCGCAGAUAUCAGGAGGAACACCAAUUGCGAAGGCAGCUCGCUGGGACGUUACUGACGCUGAGACGCGAAAGCGUGGGGAGCAAACAGG
Molecule: ribosomal RNA, 252 nt
Filed under: uncultured bacterium
Lineage: Bacteria
Description: partial 16S ribosomal RNA
Rfam family: Bacterial small subunit ribosomal RNA
Source: RNAcentral